RNAcentral lists this ribosomal RNA (471 nucleotides) under Peptostreptococcaceae bacterium oral taxon 106. Its description in RNAcentral is "bacterial SSU rRNA". It matches the Rfam family "Bacterial small subunit ribosomal RNA", at positions 28 to 459 of the family's 1533-position model. The record is from RNAcentral. Lineage: Bacteria; Bacillati; Bacillota; Clostridia; Peptostreptococcales; Peptostreptococcaceae.
GAUGAACGCUGGCGGCGUGCCUAACACAUGCAAGUCGAACGGUUGAGUACUUGACUUUUAGUUACUUAUUUAAAAAUGAUAAGUAAUUAAAAGUUGAGUACUCGAUAGUGGCGGACGGGUGAGUAACGCGUAAGUAAUCAACCUGUGACACACGGAUAACUGAUAGAAAUGUCAGCUAAUACGAGAUGAACUGUUUAAAUUGGGAAAUGGAAACAGCAAAGCGAAAGCGGUCACAGACGAGCUUGCGUCUGAUUAGCUAGUUGGUGGGGUAAGAGCCUACCAAGGCGACGAUCAGUAGCCGGCCUGAGAGGGUGAACGGCCACAUUGGAACUGAGACACGGUCCAAACUCCUACGGGAGGCAGCAGUGGGGGAUAUUGCACAAUGGGGGGAACCCUGAUGCAGCAACGCCGCGUGAGUGAAGAAGGCCCUAGGGUCGUAAAGCUCUGUCGUAUGGGAAGAAACAAAUGACU